RNAcentral lists this ribosomal RNA (1363 nucleotides) under uncultured organism. Its description in RNAcentral is "bacterial SSU rRNA". It matches the Rfam family "Bacterial small subunit ribosomal RNA", at positions 88 to 1425 of the family's 1533-position model. The record is from RNAcentral.
GAGUUUAGUGGCGGACGGGUGAGUAAUGCAUGGGUAACGUACCCCAGGCACAGGGAUAGCGGUGCGAAAGCGCCGGUAAUACCUGGUGAUAUCCGGGAGUCGCAUGGCUUCUGGAUCAUAGGUGGGGACCUUCGGGCCUACUGGCCUGGGAUCGGCCCAUGUCCUAUCAGCUUGUUGGUGGGGUAAUGGCCUACCAAGGCGAAGACGGGUAGCCGGCGUGAGAGCGCGACCGGCCACAUCGGGACUGAGACACUGCCCGGACACCUACGGGUGGCUGCAGCAACGAAUAUUCCGCAAUGGGCGCAAGCCUGACGGAGCGACGCCGCGUGGAGGAUGAAGUCUUUCGGGAUGUAAACUUCAAUAGUUUGUCAGGAAGCAAAGGGACCUAAUACGUCCCGGCGUUGACCAGCGAACGAAAGGGGCGGCUAACUCCGUGCCAGCAGCCGCGGUAAGACGGAGGCCCCUAGCGUUGUUCGGAAUCACUGGGCUUAAAGAGGGUGUAGGCGGAGCAGCAAGUACUUUGUGAAAGCCCCGGGCUCAACCCGGGAAUUGCUUGGUAUACUGUUGCUCUUGAGGCAGGUAGGGGUCACUGGAACCUUAGGUGGAGCGGUGAAAUGCGUAGAUAUCUAAGGGAACGCCUGUGGCGAAAGCGGGUGACUGGGCCUGUCCUGACGCUGAGACCCGAAAGCGUAGGGAGCAAAGCAGGAUUAGAUACCCUGGUAGUCUACGCCGUAAACGAUGCGCACUAGGUUCGAGAGCUACUGACGGCCCUCGUGCCGAAGCAAAAGUACUAAGUGCGCCGCCUGGGGAGUACGGCCGCAAGGCUAAAACUCAAAGGGAAUUGACCGGGGGCUCACACAAGCGGUGGAGCAUGUGGAUCAAUUCGAAGCACGCGAAGAACUUACUGGGUUUGACAUGCACGGAUGCCCUUCUGGAAACAGGAGUAAGCUGCCUUCGGGUGAAACGUGCACAGGUGCUGCAUGGCUGUCGUCAGCUCGUGCUGUGAAGUGUCGGGUUUAANGUCCCUUAACGAGCGAAACCCUUGUCGCUAGUUUGCCAGCGGGUCAUGCCGGGGAACUUCUAGCGAGACUGCCGGCGUUAAGCCGGAGGAAGGUGGGGAUGACGUCAAGUCAUCAUGCCUUUAUGCCCAGGUGUCACACGUGCUACAAUGGGGCGUACAGAGCGACGCAAGACCGUGAGGUGGAGCAAAUCGCAGAAAGCGUCCCUCAGUUCGGAUCGGGGUCUGCAACUCGACCCCGUGAAGCUGGAAUCGCUAGUAAUCGCGUAUCAGCCAUGACGCGGUGAUAUGUUCCUGAGCGUUGUACACACCGCCCGUCAAGUCAUGAAGCUGGGAGUUCCCGAA